Molecule: ribosomal RNA, 456 nt
Filed under: uncultured Anoxybacillus sp.
Lineage: Bacteria; Bacillati; Bacillota; Bacilli; Caryophanales; Anoxybacillaceae
Description: bacterial SSU rRNA
Rfam family: Bacterial small subunit ribosomal RNA
Source: RNAcentral
ACGAGCGGUGGAGCAUGUGGUUUAAUCGAAGCAACGCGAAGAACCUUACCAGGUCUUGACAUCCCCUGACAACCGAGAGAUCGGGCGUUCCCCUUCGGGGGACAGGGUGACAGGUGGUGCAUGGUUGUCGUCAGCUCGUGUCGUGAGAUGUUGGGUUAAGUCCCGCAACGAGCGCAACCCUCGACCUUAGUUGCCAGCAUUCAGUUGGGCACUCUAAGGUGACUGCCGGCUAAAAGUCGGAGGAAGGUGGGGAUGACGUCAAAUCAUCAUGCCCCUUAUGACCUGGGCUACACACGUGCUACAAUGGGCGGUACAAAGGGUCGCGAACCCGCGAGGGGGAGCCAAUCCCAUAAAGCCAGUCGUAGUCCGGAUCGUAGUCUGCAACUCGACUACGUGAAGUCGGAAUCGCUAGUAAUCGUGGAUCAGAAUGUCACGGUGAAUACGUUCCCGGGUCUU